This 370-nucleotide ribosomal RNA is filed under the name uncultured bacterium. RNAcentral describes it as "bacterial SSU rRNA". It matches the Rfam family "Bacterial small subunit ribosomal RNA", at positions 527 to 896 of the family's 1533-position model. The record is from RNAcentral.
GUAGGGUGCGAGCGUUAAUCGGAAUUACUGGGCGUAAAGCGUGCGCAGGCGGUUUUGUAAGCCAGAUGUGAAAUCCCCGGGCUUAACCUGGGAAUGGCAUUUGGGACUGCAAGGCUGGAGUUUGGCAGAGGAGACUGGAAUUCCUGGUGUAGCAGUGAAAUGCGUAGAUAUCAGGAGGAACACCGAUGGCGAAGGCAGGUCUCUGGGCUGAAACUGACGCUCAUGCACGAAAGCGUGGGGAGCAAACAGGAUUAGAUACCCUGGUAGUCCACGCCCUAAACGAUGUCGACUGGUUGUUGGGGGUUUGACACUCUCAGUAACGAAGCUAACGCGUGAAGUCGACCGCCUGGGGAGUACGGCCGCAAGGUUA